AGGGAGUUAGCUCAAAUGGUAGAGCACUUGCUUAGCAUGUGAGAGGUAGUGAGAUACUCACAUCCUCUA
This 69-nucleotide transfer RNA is filed under the name Rattus norvegicus (Norway rat). It matches the Rfam family "tRNA". From Rfam's summary of the family: Transfer RNA (tRNA) molecules are approximately 80 nucleotides in length. Their secondary structure includes four short double-helical elements and three loops (D, anti-codon, and T loops). Lineage: Eukaryota; Metazoa; Chordata; Mammalia; Rodentia; Muridae. The record is from Rfam by way of RNAcentral.